Bos indicus x Bos taurus (hybrid cattle) is the source of this 1079-nucleotide long non-coding RNA. NCBI's taxonomy places the organism in Eukaryota, Metazoa, Chordata, Mammalia, Artiodactyla, Bovidae. The record is from Ensembl.
CUACAAAGCCACAUGUACAAUAAAAUGCACAUAUGCAAAACACAAAGAAAAGAUACUGAUGGUGUCUUCAUGGACAGCCGGAGCGGUUGCAGCGUUGCAAAGCGCGCGGCGGAGCUGCACGUGGAGACGCCAACUCGGCAGGGCUGCAGGGACACCUUUUUUGAAUUCUGGUCCCACCGCUGAAGAUCCCCACUUCUGCUUGGGUGAGUUAUUUUAUUUCUCUGGCUUCACUCUCUUCACUUGUGAAAAGAGGAUAAUAAUACCUGUUUGACAGGUUUCUAUGUAUUAAAGACAAUAAUUGUGAAAGCAGCUAACAGGUUUUUUAAAUGUUUUAUGUUGGUGAGUGUUUAAAGUAGGAAAAGGAGAUACGAUAGUUGUUAGAGGCAGUCUGGACCCAUGUCUUUCUGCCUCAUUUCCCUCUCUCACCUGAUAUUCUCUCCAUUCUUAUUUAACUUUCUAAAUUCUAAAGUAUGAUGGCUAGAGCUGACGACCUGUUUUUCUUAGUAGGAGAUUAAAACCAUGGAGUUGGAGGACCUAAAAAGUGUAAAACUUAAAAAGCAGAAUUAACAAACUCAAAACUUUAUUUUCUGUGCAAAAAAGUAUCAAUGUUAGGAAGCAUCAGAGUGAAGCAAUGAUUGCUGAAAUUUAAACUCUGAGAGAAAGCAAUUUGGUAAAGUGUGUGGGACUUUCAGUUAUAUUUCAUGAAAUCUGAGAUGCCUUUGGUUGUAGGAUACAUCAUGUUAUGUAUUAUGAAGGAAAAGUGUUCCUUAUUAAACUGUGACAAAAUGCUUUCUUUGCUCAUAUAAUUUUUUUUCUUUUUUGAAAGAGCCCCUUAAGGUUAAACAUGUAUUGUGACCAUGUGUUACUCUUAGGCUUGUCUAAGGAGAACAGUGGAAAAGUUUGUUAACAUGUUUUGCAAAUCUUGUUCAUGUUCACCUAACUCUUCUAAAUCACAUUUUAGUCACUGAUGUGUGUAUUUUCCCAAACAUCUAUGUCCUCUGGGCUUUCAAGUGAACUGAUGAUAUGGUCUCUCAUAACAUCCCAUAUCUUCUUCUAAGUCACUGACAUCUCUUCGCAAG